GACGAACGCUGGCGGCGCGCCUAACACAUGCAAGUCGAACGAGCGAGAGAGAGCUUGCUUUCUCGAGCGAGUGGCGAACGGGUGAGUAACGCGUGAGGAACCUGCCUCAAAGAGGGGGACAACAGUUGGAAACGACUGCUAAUACCGCAUAAGCCCACGGUGCCGCAUGGCACAGAGGGAAAAGGAGCAAUCCGCUUUGAGAUGGCCUCGCGUCCGAUUAGCUAGUUGGUGAGGUAAUGGCCCACCAAGGCGACGAUCGGUAGCCGGACUGAGAGGUUGAACGGCCACAUUGGGACUGAGACACGGCCCAGACUCCUACGGGAGGCAGCAGUGGGGAAUAUUGCACAACGGGGGAAACCCUGAUGCAGCGACGCCGCGUGGAGGAAGAAGGUCUUCGGAUUGUAAACUCCUGUUGUUGGGGAAGAUAAUGACGGUACCCAACAAGGAAGUGACGGCUAACUACGUG
Molecule: ribosomal RNA, 466 nt
Filed under: uncultured bacterium
Lineage: Bacteria
Description: partial 16S ribosomal RNA
Rfam family: Bacterial small subunit ribosomal RNA
Source: RNAcentral